Molecule: long non-coding RNA, 1208 nt
Organism: Culex quinquefasciatus (southern house mosquito)
Lineage: Eukaryota; Metazoa; Arthropoda; Insecta; Diptera; Culicidae
Exons: 3
Source: RefSeq, a predicted model, not a curated record
GACCGUCAUCGGCAACUGAUCUUUGAUAAGAGCACGACGGGGGCGCAGCGGCAGAAUCCUCGGGCCUCGCGGCUGCGUUGGUCAUCGUCGUCGUCUUAUCUGCAAAUUUCGUCACGGGUAGGCCUUUGUUCCCAAGUUUAAAAUCUUUAUACUGUAACAGUUCCGAAGAAGCCCGAGGCAAUCUCCGGGAAACGGCGUACCAAAAGUACGUCUGGGGCCACUUUCCCCGUUCUGAGGAACCUAGUACUCGUUCACUUUGUCCCAGACCUUUGUGAAGUGUGGAGUGCGCGGACUUUUAUCCCGGGUUCCCCUGUCCAGUCCUGAGAUCUCGUCGAGUUAGAAUUGUGAGUGUGCGAAAUAGUGAGCCUCAGUGCGGCCUAGUUAGAGAUCAGUUCGAAGGCUUCGCUUCCUUUCGCCCUACCAGCAAAGCAGCACCAGUAGGAGAUCGAGCGCGCGUCCACCACCGCACCGCAUCGAGUGUGGGACAAGUUUGACCUGGCACACGCUACAUCGCCAGAAGAGACGAGCCGUCAACACCUCGUCUGGAGGCGGUUCCAUCCGCCCACGUGCUGGCCCGGAAAGCCAAGUUCCGGCCCGUGCAACAUCAUCGAAGUCGACCGCGACAUCGCAGGUCGAACCGGCAGCAUCGUUCGCGCCGUCCGCGAGCACGCGGUGAGGAUCAACAGCAGCAGCAUCAUCAAGUAACAGGAGCAGUAGACACAUCGCACUCUAGUGCCUUUUGUCUGCCGCAGUCCGCUUGACUGCCGGUGACGUUAGCGAUCAGCUGUUCCAGCUGACGCGCUGAAGAUUUGAGGAGGUAGAGCACAAAAGCACGGGGUAACAGAAGAACAAACAGUAGAAGUAGGGAGAGCAAACGCACACAGUAGGGAGAUGUCUAGACGAUAGAACAACACAAUGAAUGAAAUACAAAACCUUAGACUAGUCACUAGUCCAAUAAAAUGAGCACCUCUUUUUGAUUUCCUACCUGAAGUAUUUGUGUAAUUAUUCUGGAGUAUAAUAAAGUCCCUGCAGUUAAAAUGAGCUCACGUGUUAGUUUUUUUGGUCGAUCCGGAGCGCUGCUUCCGUCACUUUAGGGUCCGUUCCCAGUCCUUUCCUCCCCAAUGCAAAAGUUCUGCGUAUUUCCCAUGCUUCGUGAAGUUCUCUGGUGGCGGGUGUCGGUACUACCCAUGAUGAUUCAUACGGGCACG